Molecule: small RNA, 79 nt
Filed under: Mucilaginibacter yixingensis
Lineage: Bacteria; Pseudomonadati; Bacteroidota; Sphingobacteriia; Sphingobacteriales; Sphingobacteriaceae
Description: Flavo-1 RNA
Source: RNAcentral
AUUUAGCGUUAAGGAUUGAAGUGGAUACCGGCCUAGAGCCUAAGGCUUGUAGGCGUAUGAACGGAAAGCCUGGCCCGAG